RNAcentral lists this long non-coding RNA (1295 nucleotides) under Equus asinus (donkey). RNAcentral's name for it is "lncRNA (ENSEASG00005029530.1)". The record is from RNAcentral. Lineage: Eukaryota; Metazoa; Chordata; Mammalia; Perissodactyla; Equidae.
CCCUCACCUGCCUGUGCUACUAGGGGUGAAAAACAUCACUGUGGUUUUCCCCGCUGAGGAGCUUGCAUUUUGUCUGACCUACUUUGCAAAAGCAAAAAGAUUAGCAAUAAGAAGGCGGUCGAUCAACAAGCCCUCCUCACCGAAGCUGUCAAGGUCCUUGGGACAUCACGGUCCCCGGUCUUAGGCGGCAUCAGACUACGCAUCCCCGGAAUCAGAGCAGACUGAGAGCGCCUGCAAGGAAAGCUGAGUCUAAGCCGCCUCUUCUGUCUCUUUGCGAGGCACUGGGGCCCCCUUUUCUCCCCGCAAUUGCAGAUGUAACGCCUGAGAUGCAUGGACAGCUGUUCUACCUGUUCCCGGUAGAAGUGUAAGGAGAACACCAGUGCCUACCUGUGAGUCCCAGACCAGCUCCUGCCAACACUAAGGCAUAGCAGACAGUACCACUCAGCUCUUUGAUUUCGGGACUGCUUUUCCCUUUCUUGGGUAGAAGGCCAUAUGUUUCAUAAGGAAAUGGAUAGAUGUUAUUGUAAAUAAUCUUUUCGAGGAGGAAGCUCCAAUAGAAGGUGUAAGCAGAAAUCUCCAGGCUCCUAGACCCCUAAGUCCCCGGACAUUGCUGCGGAGUGAGGGAAGAGAGCGCAGCAUUCCUCUCGGGGUGGGAGCAGAAAGCCAGCUGCAGCGUCCUGGGACUGCGAAAGGGCGUGGCUGCCACCGAAGGUGCCACUCGCCAGGGUCUUGCUGGGCACAGGUUUGUCGUUUUUGCACCGCGUCUGGCCCAAGGGAGGAAGCCUGGGCAGGCAUAUGUCUGCAGCUCCAAGACCCCCCAACAGCCACUAUGGCGCCGCUAACAGCGCUGGGACCCAGAAACAUCGCACUUCCAGGAAAGAUCGGUGCUGCUCCAGAGAAAAGGCCGACUUGGUGCAAAGAGGCGCUGUGACAGAAAAACGGCGAUCGCGCGCUCCUCGCCAAAGUGCUAUCAGAACACCGGCUGGGCGCAAAUGACGGUGCUACAUCUGUGAAAUGUCCCUACAUCGGUGAAACAGCCGGAAGCCGAAACAAGCGGUGCUAGGACCGAGAAAGCGACAGCGCGAAGGAGGACCUGCUGUCGGGUCCAGGGAAGGAGAUCGUCCUGCUCCUCCCAGGAGCGCUGCUGCGAGGGAGGAAGCGCCCGCUCAGCGCUGCCGGGGAAAGUGGGGGUGAGGAGGGCGCGGGCGCGGGGAGCGGGGCCGCCCGCCAGGACCGCACACCCGUCCCUGGGGGACUGAGACCCAGCCGCCCUCCUCCGCUGGUGAGCAAGGCAG